GUGCUCAGGGCUGGGGUAGCAGGGGUUGCAGGUCGGGAUUGAGGGGCACUGGCAGAGCUGGGGGGGCAGGGCUAGGGUAGCAGGGGCUGCGGUCGGGUUGAGGGGCACUGGCAGAGCUGGAGUGGUGCUCAGGGCUGGGGUAGCAGGGGUUGCAGGUCGGGAUUGAGGGGCACUGGCAGAGCUGGGGGGGCAGGGCUAGGGUAGCAGGGGCUGCGGUCGGGUUGAGGGGCACUGGCAGAGCUGGAGUGGUGCUCAGGGCUGGGGUAGCAGGGGUUGCAGGUCGGGAUUGAGGGGCACUGGCAGAGCUGGGGGGGCAGGGCUAGGGUAGCAGGGGCUGCGGUCGGG
Long non-coding RNA from Gopherus flavomarginatus (Mexican gopher tortoise), 345 nucleotides. RefSeq lists it as uncharacterized. The transcript has 3 exons. Lineage: Eukaryota; Metazoa; Chordata; Testudines; Testudinidae. The record is from RefSeq and is a predicted model, not a curated record.